GUGUCAGCCGCCGCGGUAAUACGUAGGGUGCGAGCGUUAAUCGGAUUUACUGGGCGUAAAGCAUGCGCAGGCGGCGGUUCAAGUCAGGUGUGAAAUCCCCGAGCUUAACUUGGGAAUUGCGCUUGAAACUAGAUCGCUAGAGUACGGCAGAGGGGGGUAGAAUUCCACGUGUAGCAGUGAAAUGCGUAGAGAUGUGGAGGAACACCGAUGGCGAAGGCAGCCCCCUGGGCCUGUACUGACGCUCAUGCAUGAAAGCGUGGGGAGCAAACAGGAUUAGAUACCCCCGUAGUCC
This 292-nucleotide ribosomal RNA is filed under the name uncultured bacterium. Its description in RNAcentral is "partial 16S ribosomal RNA". It matches the Rfam family "Bacterial small subunit ribosomal RNA", at positions 505 to 796 of the family's 1533-position model. The record is from RNAcentral.